RNAcentral lists this non-coding RNA (45 nucleotides) under Trichobilharzia regenti. The record is from RNAcentral. Lineage: Eukaryota; Metazoa; Platyhelminthes; Trematoda; Strigeidida; Schistosomatidae.
GUACUAGUGAAGAGUCCCAAGUAGGACGAAAUAGCUGUCCAGUAC